Molecule: ribosomal RNA, 1008 nt
Filed under: Linnemannia elongata
Lineage: Eukaryota; Fungi; Mortierellomycota; Mortierellomycetes; Mortierellales; Mortierellaceae
Description: eukaryotic LSU rRNA
Rfam family: Eukaryotic large subunit ribosomal RNA
Source: RNAcentral
AGUGAAGCGGGAUGAGCUCAAAUUUAAAAUCUGGCUGGUUUACUAGUCCGAAUUGUAGUUUAUAGAAGCGUUUUCGGUGGCAGCCUGGGUAUAAAUCCUUUGGAAUAGGGUAUCAUAGAGGGUGAGAAUCCCGUCUUUGACUCAGUGCAUGCUACUAUGUGAUACGUUUUCAAAGAGUCGAGUUGUUUGGGAAUGCAGCUCAAAAUGGGUGGUAAAUUUCAUCUAAAGCUAAAUAUUGGCGAGAGACCGAUAGCGAACAAGUACCGUGAGGGAAAGAUGAAAAGAACUUUGAAAAGAGAGUUAAACAGUGCGUGAAAUUGUUGAAAGGGAAACGUUUGACACCAGUUAUGCGGGUGGAAAAUCAGUCUUUUGCAAUGGGGAGUUGUGGGCGUUCAGACCGCAAGGCUGGCGUUUGCUUCAUCUUUGUUGUAAGUGAUGCACUUUUUCAUUUGCAGGUCAACAUCAGUUUGCUUUGCUGGACAAAACCCCAAGGGAAGGUGGCAGCUUAGGCUGUGUUAUAGCCCUGGGGCGAUACAGUGGAGUGGACUGAGGUUUCGCAGUGUGUGCUCUCGGGCAAGGCUGACUGGGUGCUAUGGGAUCGUUCGGCGUACAAUGCAUGCAUUUUGCGUCGUGUCUUUUUUAUACUCGCUCAACUCGGCUCUUCCACACUUAGGAUGUUGACUUAAUGGUUUUAAACGACCCGUCUUGAAACACGGACCAAGGAGUCUAACAUAUAUGCAAGUGUUUGGGUGGCAAACCCAUGCGCGUAAUGAAAGUGAACGUAGGUGCGAUCCGCAAGGUGCAGCAUCGACCGAUCUUGAUAUUUUUGGAUAGAUUUGAGUAAGAGCAUAUAUGCUGGGACCCGAAAGAUGGUGAACUAUGCCUGAAUAGGGUGAAGCCAGAGGAAACUCUGGUGGAGGCUCGUAGCGAUUCUGACGUGCAAAUCGAUCGUCAAAUUUGGGUAUAGGGGCGAAAGACUAAUCGACCAUCUAGUAGCUGGUUCCUGCC